UGGGGAAUCUUGGACAAUGGGCGCAAGCCUGAUCCAGCCAUGCCGCGUGAGUGAAGAAGGCCUUCGGGUUGUAAAGCUCUUUUACCAGGGACGAUAAUGACGGUACCUGGAGAAUAAGCCCCGGCAAACUUCGUGCCAGCAGCCGCGGUAAUACGAAGGGGGCUAGCGUUGUUCGGAAUUACUGGGCGUAAAGCGCACGUAGGCGGAUUGUUAAGUCAGAGGUGAAAUCCCGGAGCUCAACUUCGGAACUGCCUUUGAUACUGGCAAUCUCGAGUCCGGAAGAGGUUAGUGGAAUUCCCAGUGUAGAGGUGAAAUUCGUAGAUAUUGGGAAGAACACCAGUGGCGAAGGCGGCUAACUGGUCCGGUACUGACGCUGAGGUGCGAAAGCGUGGGGAGCAAACAGGAUUAGAUACCCCAGUAGUCCCUGAGCGGGCUGG
This 437-nucleotide ribosomal RNA is filed under the name uncultured bacterium. RNAcentral's name for it is "bacterial SSU rRNA". It matches the Rfam family "Bacterial small subunit ribosomal RNA", at positions 355 to 819 of the family's 1533-position model. The record is from RNAcentral.